AUGGUAAAACAAUACCAGCAAGACCGCCUGAAUGUGCCGAGAAAUCCCGAUAGGAGCUGCACAUAUCUCGUUCUCAGGGCACACCGGAUGGGCAAGACGUCGGGUUGGCAUAGACCCUGGUUGCCCAGGGGGCGCCGGACAUUGCCCAGUUUGGACCAACACUUAGAGAAGCACUGGCCCGGGGGGGUUAAAAUAAAGAUGACCCUCGGGAGCGUGACUCCCAAGGGAAAAGUAGGUGGUGGUGAGGCAAAUGGUAAAACCAAAGUUGGGCCUUGCUGGAGGAGUUUUAUUCAAAGCGAACUGUCAAGGGGUCCCCAUAACACCCAACCGCGUAAGGAACGCAAAAUCAAGGAACAUAACACCGGUAUGACGGAAACUAGGGCAGCAAUAGUGGAACAAAACACUAGGCAUAAGGCCGAGCCUUCCACCCUUUACCAAGUAUAUAGAUGCAUUAAUUAA
This 459-nucleotide ribosomal RNA is filed under the name Triticum aestivum (bread wheat). Its description in RNAcentral is "partial small subunit ribosomal RNA". Lineage: Eukaryota; Viridiplantae; Streptophyta; Magnoliopsida; Poales; Poaceae. The record is from RNAcentral.